RNAcentral lists this microRNA (21 nucleotides) under Anopheles gambiae (African malaria mosquito). RNAcentral describes it as "aga-miR-1889". Lineage: Eukaryota; Metazoa; Arthropoda; Insecta; Diptera; Culicidae. The record is from miRBase by way of RNAcentral.
ACACAUUACAGAUUGGGAUUA